CGUAGGUGGCGAGCGUUGUCCGGAAUUACUGGGCGUAAAGGGAGCGUAGGCGGUUUUUUAAGUGGGAUGUGAAAUCCCCGGGCUUAACCUGGGAAUGGCAUUCCAAACUGGGAAACUAGAGUGCAGGAGAGGAAAGUGGAAUUCCAAGUGUAGCGGUGAAAUGCGUAGAGAUUUGGAGGAACACCAGUGGCGAAGGCGACUUUCUGGACUGUAACUGACGCUGAGGCUCGAGAGCGUGGGGAGCAAACAGGAUUAGAUACCCUGGUAGUCCACGCUGUAAACGAUGAAUACUAGGUGUUGGGGGCUAAGCCCUCAGUGCCGCAGUUAACACAUUAAGUAUUCCGCCUGGGGGGUACGAUCGCAAAGAUUA
This 370-nucleotide ribosomal RNA is filed under the name uncultured organism. RNAcentral describes it as "bacterial SSU rRNA". It matches the Rfam family "Bacterial small subunit ribosomal RNA", at positions 526 to 896 of the family's 1533-position model. The record is from RNAcentral.